AUGCAGUUUGUGGUGAUCUUAGAG
This 24-nucleotide non-coding RNA is filed under the name Arabidopsis thaliana (thale cress). The record is from RNAcentral. Lineage: Eukaryota; Viridiplantae; Streptophyta; Magnoliopsida; Brassicales; Brassicaceae.